AUGCAAGUCGAACGAGCGAGAGAGAGCUUGCUUUCUCGAGCGAGUGGCGAACGGGUGAGUAACGCGUGAGGAACCUGCCUCAAAGAGGGGGACAACAGUUGGAAACGACUGCUAAUACCGCAUAAGCCCACGGUGCCGCAUGGCACAGAGGGAAAAGGAGCAAUCCGCUUUGAGAUGGCCUCGCGUCCGAUUAGCUAGUUGGUGGGGUAACGGCCCACCAAGGCGACGAUCGGUAGCCGGACUGAGAGGUUGAACGGCCACAUUGGGACUGAGACACGGCCCAGACUCCUACGGGAGGCAGCAGUGGGGAAUAUUGCACAAUGGGGGAAACCCUGAUGCAGCGACGCCGCGUGGAGGAAGAAGGUCUUCGGAUUGUAAACUCCUGUUGUUGGGGAAGAUAAUGACGGUACCCAACAAGGAAGUGACGGCUAACUACGUGCCAGCAGCCGCGGUAAAACGUAGGUCACAAGCGUUGUCCGGAAUUACUGGGUGUAAAGGGAGCGCAGGCGGGAAGACAAGUUGGAAGUGAAAUCUAUGGGCUCAACCCAUAAACUGCUUUCAAAACUGUUUUUCUUGAGUAGUGCAGAGGUAGGCGGAAUUCCCGGUGUAGCGGUGGAAUGCGUAGAUAUCGGGAGGAACACCAGUGGCGAAGGCGGCCUACUGGGCACCAACUGACGCUGAGGCUCGAAAGUGUGGGUAGCAAACAGGAUUAGAUACCCUGGUAGUCCACACCGUAAACGAUGAUUACUAGGUGUUGGAGGAUUGACCCCUUCAGUGCCGCAGUUAACACAAUAAGUAAUCCACCUGGGGAGUACGACCGCAAGGUUGAAACUCAAAGGAAUUGACGGGGGCCCGCACAAGCAGUGGAGUAUGUGGUUUAAUUCGACGCAACGCGAAGAACCUUACCAAGUCUUGACAUCCCUUGACAGGCAUAGAAAUAUGUUUUCUCUU
RNAcentral lists this ribosomal RNA (951 nucleotides) under uncultured bacterium. RNAcentral's name for it is "bacterial SSU rRNA". It matches the Rfam family "Bacterial small subunit ribosomal RNA", at positions 55 to 1019 of the family's 1533-position model. The record is from RNAcentral.